Molecule: long non-coding RNA, 1249 nt
Filed under: Glycine max (soybean)
Lineage: Eukaryota; Viridiplantae; Streptophyta; Magnoliopsida; Fabales; Fabaceae
Description: long non-coding RNA (GMAX_LNC000744)
Source: RNAcentral
UCAGCCAAUCUACCUUGCGUCUGGUGUUCACAAAGAUAACACUCUGGGUGAUUGCCAAAGUUUCAUAAAGAUCACAUAGUGUCUCGAGCUUCCAGUCCUCCUUGUCUACAUUGACAAAAAAUUGCUUGAUCCCCUCCAAGGUAAGCUCAUCACGUUUUACUAGAAUCCUCACAGGUUUGUUCAUAAACUUCCUUGUGAUUUCCAGGGCUUCAGGAGGCAUUGUGGCAGAGAAAACCCCAACCUGGAUCUUAGGUGGCAGCAGCUGAAAAAUAUCAUAGAUCUGGAAGGUGGUAAAAAACAAAGUCAAAAUUCAGAAGGAUACACUUUAUGAACCAAAAGGCAGAUAAAGUUGAAGGUAUUUGUAUUUCAUAUUAAACAUGGACAUGCUACCAAUGCAGACCACAAACCAAAACAUAUAAUUUUCAAAAGGCAAAUAUUAAGUAUUUAAAGCUUCUUGCCUAUAAGAACAUUAAAAACUAACACUUAGUGAAAAAGAUAAUUUAAGUUGCCCCAAAUAAUAGUCUCAUGCAUUUUUUUUCUUCCAAAAUUCAUAGAGAUAAAAGAUGAAUAUAUGAAAGAAAACAAGAGAGUUAAGAGACAGAACCAGGAUUUCUAUUUCUCCUAUUCUUUCAGCUCCAAAAUCUAGUCAAUAUGCACUUUGGCAUCUUUAACAGGCUACUAUAUUGUUGUAGUGUAUCUAGUACAUCAAAAUGUACUGUUUGACAAACCACAACUUAUUGAUAGCCAUUAUAGCUCAGUUAUCGGCAUACAUUUGGUGAAAAUUCAAAUAAAAACACUAAAUAUUAUUUUUAAGCCAAAAUCGUAUUCCAACACAACAAACAAUAGAAUGAAGCAAAUAAAAGAGAGCAACAUGGGAAAAUGAGAGGACCUGAUCCUUGAAACCUCGAGAGAGCAUCUCAUCUGCCUCAUCCAAUACAAACAUCCUGAUGUUAUCAGAGCGCAAUGAUUGCCUGCGCAGCAUGUCAAAUACACGUCCAGGAGUACCAACAACAACAUGAACCCCACUUGAGAGGAUGCGUUGAUCUUCACGAACACUGGUCCCACCAACACAAGCAUGAACCUUGACACCAAGAUAGUCCCCUAGUGCUCGCAUGACCUUUUCAAUUUGUUGUGCAAGUUCACGAGUGGGAGCAAGAACCAGUGCCUGGCAUUCUACUAAGCUGUAAUCAAGCUGCUGCAAAACUCCAGAACAAAAGGUAGCAGUUUUUCCAGUUCCAGAUUGUGCUUG